This 366-nucleotide ribosomal RNA is filed under the name Triticum aestivum (bread wheat). RNAcentral describes it as "partial small subunit ribosomal RNA". Lineage: Eukaryota; Viridiplantae; Streptophyta; Magnoliopsida; Poales; Poaceae. The record is from RNAcentral.
AUGGCUUUCCUCGCUGUAGGUUAUGCCAUGGCUUUUCUUGUCCCGUCCCACUCGCCUCCCCCUCCUCGUCAUCCUCCUCUCUCUCUCUCUCCGCUCACUGCCAAGAAGCUGCCGGAGGAGGAACUCGACCCGGACGACCGCCGCUGGACAAAGAGCCCCGAAAAAAUCCCCAACCACCCCUGCGCCACCGCCUCUUCACCUUCGACCAUGGGUUGCAACAGUCAGAGGACCAAGUUGGAGCAUACUAGGCAAAUGGGCCUUGCCGUGAGUCGUGGUGCAGCAGUGACCUCGAUGGGCAGGGUAAUGGUCAGAUACGAGUCAGCAGCAAAGAUGACUGUAAGCAUUCAAAAAAGUUUACCACGCUAG